Molecule: ribosomal RNA, 426 nt
Filed under: uncultured Aquicella sp.
Lineage: Bacteria; Pseudomonadati; Pseudomonadota; Gammaproteobacteria; Legionellales; Coxiellaceae
Description: bacterial SSU rRNA
Rfam family: Bacterial small subunit ribosomal RNA
Source: RNAcentral
UGGGGAAUCUUGGACAAUGGGGGCAACCCUGAUCCAGCGAUGCCGCGUGAGUGAAGAAGGCCUUCGGGUCGUAAAGCUCUUUAGGCUGGGAAGAAGGUAGUGGGAGGAAAUGCCUGCUAUUUGACGGUACCAGCAGAAUAAGCACCGGCAAACUCUGUGCCAGCAGCCGCGGUAAUACAGAGGGUGCGAGCGUUAAUCGGAGUUACUGGGCGUAAAGGGCGCGUAGGCGGUUUAGUGAGUGUGAUGUGAAAGCCCCGGGCUUAACCUGGGAAGUGCAUCGCAUACUGCUAGACUAGAGUAGAUGAGAGGGUGAUGGAAUUUCCGGUGUAGCGGUGAAAUGCGUAGAGAUCGGAAGGAACGUCGAUGGCGAAGGCAGUCACCUGGCAUCAUACUGACGCUGAGGCGCGAAAGCGUGGGGAGCAAACA